Cyprinodon tularosa is the source of this 4928-nucleotide long non-coding RNA. RefSeq lists it as uncharacterized. Lineage: Eukaryota; Metazoa; Chordata; Actinopteri; Cyprinodontiformes; Cyprinodontidae. The record is from RefSeq and is a predicted model, not a curated record. The transcript is spliced from 2 exons.
ACACGCUCCUGUCUGCGCAGCCAGAGCAGGAUCCAGUCGACAAGAGGACAAAAAGAAUGACAGGCGCAAAACUCUUGAACUUCAACUUUACAGGGUGACGCUGGAAAGCGGGAGAGAAAUAAACCCGGGGCAGAGAGCAGGAAUAAAAACUCUUAUUUCAGGGAAAGACUCUACAGAAGCUGCUGCAGCCUGUUGAUCGGUACAGAAUGUGUGUAAAGUCUUCCUGAAUGUACAGUGAUAUUAGCACUGGAAUAUUACCCUGUUGUGUGGCUUGCCUCUGUGGAGCAGCUCCAUUACAAAGGUCAGAUGUAAAUACUUCCUUUGCAUGGGAUGGCUGACUUUCUGCAUGGCUGCCUGCGUUUGCUGUUGAUUUAGAGUCUACCAGUCAUCUGAGUGAUUGACUGCUUAAUUGUUUAGCCUCUACCUGUUUGUCUGCUUUCCCUUUCCGUCUUUCUUUAUCUGCCUAUAUUUGUUGUGUGCCUGUUCUUUCAAGACCGUGUACGCUCUCCCCACUGGGUGUUUUGCUGGCACCAUAUAGUGUGAACAAAGGUCAUAAAAAGUUCUCAAAAAGCAGCAGACGGGGUGUUAUGGCAGUGCCGAAGCAGGGCCGGGGCUGCCUCAGACAUUCCUCUCAUUGUUCAGAGGCCCUGUAAGUGUGCGUGCUCCGAAACCUCCAUGAAAGGAAGAGAAUCCAGCCACAACUGUAGCUGAAAAGGUUUCAGCUGCACUUAAGGGCUGCUUGUCUCUGUUUCCCUGUCCGCUGUCCUGUCUGGUUCUUCUCUUGAGGGUGGUGGUAAAACUAAAUCAGGUUGUGAACGACAUGAAAAGAGCAGAAGGAAGUUCACAUGAGGCUGACGCAGCAAGGACAGAUGAGAUAAGGGUCAAGAUGAAACACAUUUAAUAAGAUAAUUUAUUCAGUUUUCAGUGUGUCUGAUUGUGGCUUAAGAUUAAAGAAUGAAGAGAGGUUAAAUGAGUUCUAAGAAAACAAAUUGCUGGUUAAAUGGCUGAAUGUUUGGAUGGAGGGAUGGAAGAGUAGCAGGAGGGAGGGUGAAGAUCCAGACAAGCUUUGGUGAGGUUGUUGGGUGGGUGAGUGGGUGUGCCUGGCAGGAAUCUGUACGACUGGGCCCUGGCUCAGGAAACGGUGGCGUAGUGGAAUAAAAGUGUAUGAGUAUAGCCUCUGCAGCCAUUCGUGCAUGUGCGGUUCAAUGGCAACAGGGCAGCUGUGCACUAAGUACAGGGCUGGUGGUGGUGAGGGUGUUUGGCUAUGAACCAGGCUGAGGAUAGGGUUACAAGCACUGGGCUACAGGGAGUGGACCACUAGCUUGGGCUGGGCUCUUCGCUCAAGCACAACAACCCUUUAAAGCUUUUCUUUUUUUUUUUAAACGACUAAUGUCCCACAUGUGGCACAUUCUUCCAAUGAGUCCAGGCCAGGCGGUGACUGUUUGCCUUUGAUUCCAGAAAACUGCAACAGAUUAGGCCCGCAGUGGACCCAGAUCCCUUGUUUGAAUGUCGCUGAAUGUCACGGCCUUUGAAAUAAUUACACCCUGACACGCAACUUGAAACAAAAUCAGAACCUCGGUCACAUACACACACACAAACCGAGACGUGCCCUGUAUGAUUAGUGAGCUAAGGUGUGGUGCUGUGUAAGGUGUGUAAGUUCAAAGAUCCAGGGAUGUGCCUUACGGUUUUCCAGUAGUUUUGCUUUUGUACUAAAACAACUAUUAAGUGGAGGCCUGAGACAUUCGAGUAAUGGAUCUAUUGUAAAACUAAAUGAUGUGGAGAAUAACUUUGGUGAUUUAGUCUACACGUUUUAAAAUUGAAAAAGUUGAGUAUGUAGAAGUGUAAUGGAUAUGGCGGCAGUUAUGAAAAGCAAACAUUGUAUGUUUGCUUUCUAGAAAAGGAGUUCCGACGUUAUAGUAAGCUUUCAGCUCAAGCCCUGACUUGAAUCCUCAUCCAUUACACCUGGAGGAGCACUGAUCAUGUUUUUCCCUUGCCAAGGUGGACUUUUUGUAGCUUUGAUUGCGUCUUUCUCAGUUUUUACUGGAAUGAAACGGAGCCAUCCGACUUCUUGUAGCCGCCUUGACAACCAACAAUUUUAUUUUUUUCAUAUUCUACUGCUCUGCUUAUAUACUUGUUUCAGGUCUUGUGUUAUGAGUGUAGUAAAUAUUUUCUACCAAAACAUACCGCUUUCAACAUAUUAGGUUAGAAUAGGGCUACAAAUUUGUCAUUAUUCAAAUGAGUCAUCAGACAAAACAGAUAAAUAGAAUUAUGGGGUGAUAAAGUACGUCUUUUAGAAAAUAGUUAAAAAUUAAUUUUCCUUUCAAUUUAAGAUUUCAACAUUUCAAAAAUCAUUAAUUCCCCAAAUUCAGUAAAAUACUGAAAUGCAAAGAAAAAAGAAAUUAUGUACAAUUGUUUGAGAUAAAAACAGGUAUACGAGUUAUCGAACGGGUGAAUUUUCCAAGAUGAGGAAUGGAUUAAAAUACUUUAAAUUUAAGUCUCCCUGUCAAGUUAGAAGUAUUUUACAAUUUAAGGUAAAAGCCAUGUGUGAUUUUAUGUAUUUGCACUUUUACCCAUUAAUGAGACAGUGAAAUCCCAGCUAAGGCACAAACAAUGUUUGCCCAGCAGCCCCACUGACAUAACCCUGUUUGUUUGCUGAUGGUGAGCAUAUUGUGCUUGGAGAGGUAGAUUCAGCCUGUGAGCCAUAGAAAGGAAGGUUGAUACGUGUUGAAACAACAAGAGGUCAAGAUCCAGCUGUCUCAACAUAGGCUUUUCCACUUAACUGUGCGGCCUUGUGUAAACGACAAUGUCAAAUCGGGACUCACGCUGAAGGGAAAGCAGCCAGUGGCCACGUCUGCACUUGGAUCUCUAUAUAUCCUGUGUAUGAAGAGUGGAACACACACAUAAUGUAAACUGCACACCCUAAGCCAUCAAAAAAUCUAGAAACAAGGCCAUAGUGCACGAAAACUGCAAAAGAAAACCUUUGACUUUACUAGAGUGCAUCUGCUGGAAAUCAUCACCCAGUGAUGCAAGUUUUCCUACUCAACACUUACAUCAAGAUGCAACACGUCGGCACAUUUGUGCAACCCACGUGCCAAAACUUUGCGUGAUUGUUUCUUACCACAAUAAACACCUAAUUACAAAGAGGCAUGAGAACAGCAUUAAAGGGGGGGGGACAUAAGCUCUGUUGAGAUUCUUCAAGCCAGUACUUGAGGUGAGGUGUUGGACAGCCCUUGUCAACCGAAUACGCCGUCAUUACAGAGGAAAAGGGAAGGAAUGAGCUCAUAGACAUUAAUGGCUGUGGGUUCGAAGGAGGGAGCGUGAAGGGGUGGGGUUGGGGGGGCUGGUUGGAAAAGAUGAAAAGGCAGACAAAAUAACAGCAUGAGUCGAGCCACCACUAGAUGAAAGGAGGGAGGGAUGGAAGGGUUUAAGGUUGAGCGGGGAGAGGAGUUAAAGGGGAGUUAGUGCGCAGUCUUUGAAGGGUGCUGGGACCUUAGGCGACCUUGGUGUUUUUUUUCUUUGUGACCAGGUGGAUGUAUUUUGGCAUAGAACUGAAACCAAGUAAAACGUCCGAAGCGAAAAAUCAAAUUUGUUUUUAUUGAUAGAAUACAACCUUUUCUUGAAUGUCAUUCUGCCCAUGCCAUCCACAGAUACUUUUGUAAUGUGCUUGUAAACAAAAUGAGACAAUGCACUACUCAGAAGCAAUCAAAGCCGAUGAAAUCACUGUUUUAUUUUAUGAGUUCAUUGGACUAAAAAAAAAAAAUUUCCUUGUUGGAGUACUUUUGUUUAUUUUGGGUUUAUUUAAGAGGAAGUUUUCUACUAUUUUGCAAAGCUCUCUGAAACUGCAACAGAUCAGUGAUGCUGAUUGCGGAGCCAAAGCUUCCCCGUGCGUUUAGAGCAGAUCUCCAACAGGGCGGAUGGUUGAAACCCAUUUAGACUCUGGAGUUCCCCAAACGUGUCCCACUGACUAACACCUAGCAGACGGCGGAUUAUUAAUGUGGCUGAAAAUAAAAAACGACUUUAGGGAAAUGGCACAUUAGGGAACUUAGAGUAUGAUAUAGUUACUUUUGAAAUGAGUAGUAUUGCUUUUUUCUUUUAGAGAUAUUCUCAAAAUCCUGUGAUUCAUUUAGGUUUUUCUUUUCUUUUUUGGGAUAACAAGAAGCAGAAAGAAUUCAACUUGAUUCCUAGUUUUCCACACAAGACCCACAGAUAAUGAGGCAGAACAAAAAGGGUAGUCGACUUUAUAGGGAGUGCCACUUCCUUCUUAACCAACUCUCCAUUCUGUCAUUGACAAGUUAUUUUUAUAAGAGGCCGAGGGGAGCAGAAGAGAGCCAUGUAUACACAUAUAACACUUUCUAACCUGAGAGUUUACCAAGACACAUAAAAGAGAGGAUUUGCGUAAGAAGGCAGCCGGGGGGACAAUACAUCAAGGGUAUAGAUGACGCUGGAGCUCUAUUUUGGUGUUUAUUAUUCAUAGGUUUGCAUGAUCCUUUUUGCCACGAAUCACCUAGACGUCUCUGCUGGCCAGGGGAAUUCCUGGUAGAGUGAUUUUUGAGACUACAGGACUGAAUCACAUUGCCAGGGAUUUCCAAUGGCUGACACGAAGAAAAGCAGCAACCUUCUCACGAACGCACCAAACACACAGAGACUCAAAAUUACUACCUCACUCACAGACACACCCAUGCUUUUCAUUUGCAUGUUCACACACCAACACAAACGUCACCGGCAGAUGCUGGUUUUCAAGCCUUGCUGUGCGGCUGCAGGACUUAACUCACAUGUGAACAGUGAGUGCCUUCCAUGUUCACAGUGGUUAAGUUCUGCCGCCACAGGGCUACAGCCUGCAGGUGGGAGACUAAAGGUCAGGGAGGGGCAACAAGCUCUACAGAUGAGCAUCACACUUCAUACCACGGCUGUAUCAAAUAUAAAAAAAA